UAAGGAAUAUUGCUCAAUGGGAGAAAUCCUGAAGCAGCAACGCCGCGUGGAGGAUGAAGGGUCUAUGACUUGUAAACUCCUGUAAAGAAGGAAAAAAUUCCCAUUUGAUGGGAGAUGAUGGUACUUCUGGAGUAAGCCCCGGCUAACUACGUGCCAGCAGCCGCGGUAAUCGGUAGGGGGCAGGCGUUGUCCGGAUUUACUGGGUGAAAAGGGUGCUCAGGCGGAUUUGUAAGUCAGAGGUGAAAUCUUACAGCUUAACUGUGAAACUGCCUUUGAUACUGCAAGCCUAGAGUAUGGAAGAGAGUGAUGGAAUAUCUGGUGUAGCAGUGAAAUGCGUAGAUAUCAGAUAGAACACCAAUGGCGAAGGCAGUCACUUGGUCCAUUACUGACGCUAAAGCACGAAAGCGUGGGUAGCAAACA
Molecule: ribosomal RNA, 420 nt
Filed under: uncultured bacterium
Lineage: Bacteria
Description: bacterial SSU rRNA
Rfam family: Bacterial small subunit ribosomal RNA
Source: RNAcentral